AGGGGACCUCCGUGGUCGAUGGCGAGCCGUGCCCCCUGAUCGCGUUGUCGGCCGGCGAAAAUGGAAAUGAACCGAAACGCGGGAUGUUGCGAGUAGCCAUCGCCGAAGGUCCCUGCAGACGUUAAAAAAUUAAUACGGAGAUCCCGAGAGGUUUCCACUGGAUAUGGUCCGUAAAUAUUAAAAUAUUGCCCAGCUUCGCUCGUUUCGUUACGUCGUAUUACCGAUAUUACGUCGUAUCUUCACAAAAACACGGAACGUAAGAGGAAGAUAGAAAGUCUAGCACGUAUAGUAAAAUUACGUGCGAGUUUACGCUGCAAUCGACAAAUUGACACAAGUAUAACGGCUCAUCGAUCCUUCCAGAAAUUUGAUCUUCUUCACCCUUCUUAAAAAUUUAACCCUCUCCGAGAAGCUUAGAUCUAAUGUAAUUCUCAACCCUUCAAAUAUCAGAGUUCACGCUCUUUUAAAGGAAAAGCAAAAGGUUAUCGUCGGGGUUGGUAUUCACAGUCGAGACUCAGCGGAGGGAUCCAACAACGUGUUCUUUGAAGCGCCAUUUGCGAAACGUUGCUUUUCCGAGUCUUCCAAGAUAAAUAAAUCAGUUCAGCCUUGGGAUCGUGUUUGAGGAAAGGAAAGCGAGGGAAGCAGAAGUUCAGGCGGUAUGUACCUAUCGUCGAGAGCUAUCUUUAAGUUCGCCCGACCACGCCGAAUUCGUCUCGAGACUACAAUACGGAACACUUCCCGGCGUCGUCAAACGCCAAAUAUGAACCGCCCGAACAUUUUUGUACACCGUUUAUUUUUAACAUUUACAAUCAACAUCUCUUUUGUUUUGUCAAUUAUACACGUAUAAUGUCAUAUAAUACAGUAACGCUUCUGCAAUACAUAUACAUGGAUAUAAUCCUCCGGGUGGGGAUGGGGGAGGAAGGGGGAGAGCGGGUAAAUCGGAGGGGGCGAGGGCACUUUGCUUUUUACAUAAUUGAUAAGUUACUUCUACAUAAUUAGGUAAGUCACCCCAUGCGUUUGGGACGCGCAACAUUAAGUACGCAACAUUUUUUUUGGUCUCCAAAGCGGGAAAGCGAUCGACGAUCUCGGUUUCGGUUGACGAGGAUUCGUCCUCGCUAAUUCUUAUUCGGACUACCUCGCGACUUUGCUUUUUCCGUGACCUCCACACGUUUUUCGCACGGCACGGACUGGCCGUCGAUUCGCGAUUUUAUUCUGCGGCGAAGACGACGUCGCUCUGACGGGGCAAAAUGGACCUUUGGCAAUCUCCUUGAGACUAAAUUGAUAAAAUAGAUUUUCUUUGAAUUAAAAGGUAUGUCGAUGGCAAGAUGGAAAUUUGAAAAUAGCUGGGGCGUAUAAAGUAGAUAUCCGAUAAAAUUGUAAUUUGUAUUCUAAGGAACGAACAGGCUUUUAUGUUGAGAAAAAGAAGUACGCGGUGUGAUCCGAAAAAAGCUUUGGUUUUAUACCUCAGUCAUUUAAAUCGCGAUUCAAAUUCGUAAAUUCAAAUAAUCUAUAAGAUCCAAAUAGCAAGGUAAUGUCUUAUUGACGUUAGAGACGUUAUUUGAUGUCACCUUGCUACUUGAGGACCGACAUUUGCUAAUAAAAUUUCCAAAAUUCGAGUCUCUCGGCGCGAAGUUGCGCGCAUAAAGAUCAAGGACAUACUCGCGGUUGGAAAAGUGGCACGAAUAGUCCCCUUUCAUCCCGCCCCGAGAGCGACGAACGUGUUCGCCCCAAAGGAUAUAUGUUGUAUAUACAUAUCUCAUAUAGUCUUAUCUUAUUACGCGCUUUCUCCUCUCCGCGACUAAUUAUCUAAUAUACGAUAGAGAGCACACUUUAUGAUAUGUAUAGGUUUCUCGUUGCGUCGCCGAUUACAACGUACGUUGAUAUGUAGAUGAUACGUGGCCGUCUUAUGAGAGCAUUUUCUCAUAAGCUUUAUAACGUCUACUAGUUUUCUCCCGCGCGUUCUCGACACGCGGCACCUCCACUCUUUGAAUCCUUAAAUUCGUAUAUAAAAGAAACGACCUGGAGUCGACCUCGAAGCACAAAUAUCUAUCGAGAUAAGCAAAUUCAUUAUGACGAAACAAUCGAAACGAAGUGUAGAUGAAUGACCGAUAAAUUGCUGAAAAUCCACAAUUUCCUCCUAUCUCAAUUUCCUGAGUGUAAACAUCGAAGAAAACGCGCGAAUACGAGAACGCAGAAGAGCGAAGGAAAUCAAAGACUUACGUUUCAGAUUUAUCAUGUAAUUACGUCUUAACUAUUCCCAUUUAAAAACGUCAGAACUUGAAGAUUCGUCCCGCGGGCUCAACAAUUUAAAUCCAAGACGAAUAAAAAAACUCGAGAGCCCAUUAAAGUCCUCCUUACCGUUCAUUUAAAUCGCGGAGAAAUGAAGAGACGUGAAAAUUCCGUAUAUACCACACAGUAAUCGUUUAAAACGGGUCAAGACGGGCUGUCUCUCCACUUCGAACUCGCCGGAAAACUCCGACGAGUGGUGUGUCGAAAGGAGGGAAACGCGCGCGCUGCGUAGAAAAAUAAUUCGCGGAUACUUUCGUUCGUGAUACUUUCGUAUAUUCCUGGCGCGCGAGAAGCGAGACCGGCGAUCUUCGCACGCGGCUCAUUGUAUCGCGAUACUUUCGUGCUUCGGCAGGAAUAUAAUAAGGAUAAUAAUCCCGCGCGCGCGCGCGCAAGAACAUCUCGUUGUCCACGAGCGUCACGGAUUAGCCAGCCGGCGCGCUCGUCAUCGUCUCUAAUAUCCGAGUGAAAGUACACGCGGAGCUCUUAGCGACGGACGGACGAACGAACGGAAAUACACACGGGAGAUGCACGGUACCGCGCGGCGAGAGAGGAUCCACGAUGCUCGGAUCGCGCGCGCGAAUGCUAUAUCCCUUCCCCUCCUUCGCAGUCACCGUAUCGCGUACAGCGAGCGCGUACAGGCAUCGGGCUUCUCGCGUUUCGAAUCGUGCCGUCGCGUCGCACGCUCGUAAUUUCACCUGCGAGCGGCGUCUUCGACUUAACGAGCGGAUAAUAUGACCGGCGCGCUGCAGCGGGAAACCGCGGCUAGGCCACUUCCGGCAAAUCGCCAAGGAUCCGUAAAACCCCUCCCCCUACCUCCGCCCCGUAUGGUCGAGGGGGGUAUUUUCGAUUCCGCUGGAGAACACCGCGGAAGAGAGGCUCGUGAACGAAGGAGAUGCGCACGUGAUCUUGAAUGCAGAACGAAGUGACAAGCGCGAUUCGAAGCCGAGUCUUGCCUCGGAAAGAAAUCCGAUCCGUAAAACAGUUUCCGGAAAGUGAGAAGAAAAGAUGAACACGUUCGUAUAAUUUCUUUCCAACUGAAAUUCUUGCUUCAAAAUGAAACAAACGCUUUGCGAAAGUGACACACGCACACGCACGCACACAUACGCACGCGCAUCCAUACACACUCACAUACGCGCAAAGAGAUAAUAUUUUAAAUGACUUUAAUGCUUUAGAAUAUUACAUCAGGGACUUCGGUCGUGUGCAGAUCGCUGCGUCUCGUUGAAGUAUAAGAAGCCCUUUUAAAAAUUCCUGACAUUUGGACU
Molecule: long non-coding RNA, 3548 nt
Organism: Wasmannia auropunctata (little fire ant)
Lineage: Eukaryota; Metazoa; Arthropoda; Insecta; Hymenoptera; Formicidae
Exons: 3
Source: RefSeq, a predicted model, not a curated record